RNAcentral lists this ribosomal RNA (320 nucleotides) under uncultured eukaryote. RNAcentral describes it as "partial 18S ribosomal RNA". It matches the Rfam family "Eukaryotic small subunit ribosomal RNA", at positions 1470 to 1796 of the family's 1831-position model. The record is from RNAcentral.
CCCUUGGAUGUUCUGGGCUGCACGCGUGCUACAAUGGCGCUUGCAACAAGUCUUGCCAACCCGAUAGGGUGAGCGGAUCUUUGAAGAGGCGUCGUGAUCGGGACAGUUGAUUGCAAUUAUUCGACUCGAACGAGGAAUUCCUUGUAAUCGCGAUUCAUCAUAUCGCGCUGAAUACGUCCCUGCCCUUUGUACACACCGCCCGUCGCUCCUACCGAUUGAGCGAUCCGGUGAAUGGUUUGGACUGGCGUCAGAAGCGGUUCGCUCCUGACACUACGAAAUUUUGUAAACCUUAUCGCUUAGAGGAAGGAAAAGUCGUAACA